UCCGGGCUACACACGUGCUACAAUGGCAGGUACAGAGGGCUGCGAAGCCGCGAGGUGGAGCGAAUCCCAGAAAACCUGUCUCAGUCCGGAUUGAAGUCUGCAACUCGACUUCAUGAAGGCGGAAUCGCUAGUAACCGCGAAUCAGCAGGUCGCGGUGAAUACGUUCCCGGGCCUU
RNAcentral lists this ribosomal RNA (175 nucleotides) under uncultured Latescibacterota bacterium. RNAcentral describes it as "uncultured Latescibacteria bacterium partial 16S ribosomal RNA". It matches the Rfam family "Bacterial small subunit ribosomal RNA", at positions 1208 to 1382 of the family's 1533-position model. The record is from RNAcentral. Lineage: Bacteria; Pseudomonadati; Candidatus Latescibacterota.